GCGAGAGCCCCCCCUCACAAGAUGGCCGCCAGGCUGCCACCCGGCCAGGGAGAGGGCGCUCCAGGCUGCCAGCCCCUCCUGCAGGCAGUCCAGAGAAGGAUGUCGCCUUCUCCGUCAGCAUGAGACACGCCUUCGUACCCUUCUCAGGAGGGAUGAUCCUAGCUGCAGAUUAUUCCCAGUUGGAGCUGCGGGUGCUAGCUCACCUCUCUAAGGACCGGCGCCUCCUACAGGUCAGGAGAUACACGCA
Long non-coding RNA from Osmerus eperlanus (European smelt), 247 nucleotides. RefSeq lists it as uncharacterized. The record is from RefSeq and is a predicted model, not a curated record. Lineage: Eukaryota; Metazoa; Chordata; Actinopteri; Osmeriformes; Osmeridae. The transcript has 3 exons.